GGAGUUAGCCGGUGCUUCUUCUGCGAGUAACGUCACAGAUGUAAGGUAUUAACUUACACCCUUUCCUCCUCGCUGAAAGUGCUUUACAACCCGAAGGCCUUCUUCACACACGCGGCAUGGCUGCAUCAGGGUUUCCCCCAUUGUGCAAUAUUCCCCACUGCUGCCUCCCGUAGGAGUCUGGGCCGUGUCUCAGUCCCAGUGUGGCUGAUCAUCCUCUCAGACCAGCUAGGGAUCGUCGCCUAGGUGAGCCUUUACCUCACCUACUAGCUAAUCCCACCUGGGCUUAUCCAUCAGCGCAAGGCCCGAAGGUCCCCUGCUUUCCCCCGUAGGGCGUAUGCGGUAUUAGCAGUCGUUUCCAACUGUUAUCCCCCACAAAUGGGCAAAUUCCCAGGCAUUACUCACCCGUCCGCCGCUCGUCAUCUUCAAAAGCAAGCUUUUGAAAUGUUACCGCUCGACUUGCAUGUGUUAGGCCUGCCGCCAGCGUUCAAUCUGACACGAUCGAAAUUCAANCUGACUCGGGACUGGGGCAGGGCAACGCGUACG
RNAcentral lists this ribosomal RNA (543 nucleotides) under uncultured bacterium. Its description in RNAcentral is "partial 16S ribosomal RNA". The record is from RNAcentral.